UAUUGCACUUUUUCUUCAUCCUAGCGAAAACUGUUUGAAACAAAAGUUGUAUCUCUAAUCAUCAGCUACUCUUUAACAGCAUCUCCUCAAUAAUAAUAAUACACUAAAUCUAUAAUCGAUGGAUCUUUUGCAAAAAUCCUCAUCAAUUGAUAUCAAAAGUACCUCUCGUCGUUCAACUACUAAAAUCAUGGAUCCCUCAUUGAUUUAAAUAUCCGAUACACAGUAAAUAUUUUCUAAAUCAAAAAUCGUUUCUGAAAAACUACUGCAACUCUCAACAAAAAUCUCAUAACUUGCAUAUAAGUAACAGUAAUUGUCCGGAGGGUAUAAAGAGCGGUUCGUUACUGAGAUUGCUUACUAAUUAACUGUAAAACAGAUGGAAAUAAGGACGGGUCGGGGUAGCUUAAAAAAAAAAUUAACGAGCAUGAACGUAGACAAGAAUAAAUAGCGGUGGGCUCGUUAGAAAUUUGUGGAAAAGUGCUGCGGGUGAAUUGGAACGGAUGAAAGGAGCCCGUAGACCGCGAAUCGUUCCUGAAGAGAUUGAAAAAAGAGAACAUAAAUAAACAUGCAUAAAGAAGCGAACUCAGGGAGGAGGAGAGCGGUUGGAUUAAAUGCCAAAGAGAGGCGAGCGGGGGAGAAGAGUUUAAGGAAUCGUUCUUCCGUCGAAGAAAUUUUUCCCUGUGAUCGUCUCGACCUCUUUCACCGCAGGAUAUCCUCAAUUGUAACCGAGUUAGUCGGGGGGGCACCGGUCGGGCAAUUGUUUAUCGCGUCUCGAGCCAUUGGUUUGCUUAAUUGCGCGUUCAUUUCACGGUGAAACUUUUAUGUAAUAUCUCAGCUCAGGCUGUGAUUAAUCAAUAGCUCAAGCAAGUUGAAGGAAAUUCUCAUCUUAAAACGUCCGAGUUCUAAUGGCUCGAAGGACAGAGAGGGACAAUAACAGGAUGAUGAUUAUGACGUUCAAACGAUAAUCCGCUACGCUUGCUUCCUGUUUGGUCAAAGGAGGCCGAGUGAUCUUGAUCGUGAAUGCUACUUCCAGUCGAUUACGACACAGCAGUGGACUUGUAACGAUGAUAGAACAACGUGUGAGCUAACGCGAUGAGGAACAAAGACGAGGAGGAGGAAACAGAGACACUGGGCUAGGGACCCACGGAGAGGGUGAUGAAAGGGAAGGUCGGGGGAGGUUACGGACAGAGAGGGGUUGCUUGUACGAGCGGAAAGAUGAAAGCGCCUAGUCCCGGAUGCAACUUGCCGUUGAAGAGCUGCAACUAGAUUCCAAACGGAUUUUUCGAGAACAGAACAAACAGCGUCGGCGUCGAGUCAAAAUCGGAUUCACGGACCUUUAUAAACGCUGUGAAUGCCCUUUCAGCCAGCGGAGAGCCAAUUAAAUACUGAUGGGAGAUCGAGCAGGAACAAGUGCCGGGAGAUCCGUGGAAAAUGUUGCACCGAGCGAUCAUCCAGGGAUGAGUGGAGAGAGAAAUGAAACCGAGAAAUUCGAGAGGUAUCUAACGUUAAUUCGGCGUGAACCUCCGUCCUAGAGAUCUUCCUUGAAACGUCGGGCGACUGCAGAUCAUUGUCAACGAUGCUAUUCAAAUUUGUCUUCUGCCUCUUGUCCGCUUUGCCGCAGCGCCUGGACGACUUCUUGUUCCGACUCUUCUGAAAACACUUCUGACACUUCUUAUCACCGCACUGGACGCAUUAUCGGAUAGAUGCACGAUAACCAAAUAGACAGAUUUUUAUGACACACUGUAUCUUGGAAUCCUCCGACUCGUGACAUCGAUACGACACAGAAAGUUUGUUCGUCUUUAUGCGAGACGGUUCGACGACGAGCAAUGAUCAAUGAAGGGCCAUAUAAAAAAUUGAUGCAGCUUUGGAGAGACAAAAGCGAGAAUAGAACAACCGUCUCGUAAUGGACUGGUUUUUAGGUAUCUAACGUUAAUUCGGCGUGAACCUCCGUCCUAGAGAUCUUCCUUGAAACGUCGGGCGACUGCAGAUCAUUGUCAACGAUGCUAUUCAAAUUUGUCUUCUGCCUCUUGUCCGCUUUGCCGCAGCGCCUGGACGACUUCUUGUUCCGACUCUUCUGAAAACACUUCUGACACUUCUUAUCACCGCACUGGACGCAUUAUCGGAUAGAUGCACGAUAACCAAAUAGACAGAUUUUUAUGACACACUGUAUCUUGGAAUCCUCCGACUCGUGACAUCGAUACGACACAGAAAGUUUGUUCGUCUUUAUGCGAGACGGUUCGACGACGAGCAAUGAUCAAUGAAGGGCCAUAUAAAAAAUUGAUGCAGCUUUGGAGAGACAAAAGCGAGAAUAGAACAACCGUCUCGUAAUGGACUGGUUUUUAGUUUCAGAAUCAGUCCUUGGGAGUGAAGUACAGUUGCCUGGUGAGCGUAGACGUGAACGUGGGGAUUUGCUUCUUCUUGUCCAAC
Ceratina calcarata is the source of this 2424-nucleotide long non-coding RNA. RefSeq lists it as uncharacterized. The record is from RefSeq and is a predicted model, not a curated record. The transcript has 7 exons. Lineage: Eukaryota; Metazoa; Arthropoda; Insecta; Hymenoptera; Apidae.